RNAcentral lists this ribosomal RNA (406 nucleotides) under uncultured soil bacterium. RNAcentral describes it as "bacterial SSU rRNA". It matches the Rfam family "Bacterial small subunit ribosomal RNA", at positions 26 to 430 of the family's 1533-position model. The record is from RNAcentral.
AGAUUGAACGCUGGCGGCAUGCCUAACACAUGCAAGUCGAACGGGAGUAGCAAUACUCUAGUGGCGGACGGGUGAGGAAUACGUAGGAAUUUGCCCUUAAGUGGGGGAUAACCCGGGGAAACCCGGAUUAAUACCGCAUGACCUCGAAAGAGCAAAGUGGGGGAUCGCAAGACCUCACGCUUUUGGAGAAGCCUACGUCGGAUUAGCUAGUUGGUGAGGUAAUGGCUCACCAAGGCGACGAUCCGUAACUGGUCUGAGAGGAUGAUCAGUCACACCGGAACUGAGACACGGUCCGGACUCCGUACGGGAGGCAGCAGGUGGGGAAUAGUUGGACAAGUGGGACGCAAGCCUGACUCCAGCAAGUGACCGCGUGUGUAGAAGAACGGUCCGUUACGGGUUAGUAAAG